CACGUCAGCGCGCUUUGCUGACGUUGCAAUAAAUCGCGCCCACGUAAGCGCGAUUUGUGUCCACGUCAGCAAAGCGCGCUGACAUAA
Gossypium hirsutum (cotton) is the source of this 87-nucleotide non-coding RNA. NCBI's taxonomy places the organism in Eukaryota, Viridiplantae, Streptophyta, Magnoliopsida, Malvales, Malvaceae. The record is from Rfam.